Molecule: ribosomal RNA, 496 nt
Filed under: uncultured bacterium
Lineage: Bacteria
Description: partial 16S ribosomal RNA
Rfam family: Bacterial small subunit ribosomal RNA
Source: RNAcentral
GAUGAACGCUGGCGGCGUGCCUAAUACAUGCAAGUCGAGCGAACGGACGAGAAGCUUGCUUCUCUGAUGUUAGCGGCGGACGGGUGAGUAACACGUGGAUAACCUACCUAUAAGACUGGGAUAACUUCGGGAAACCGUAGCUAAUACCGGAUAAUAUUUUGAACCGCAUGGUUCAAAAGUGAAAGACGGUCUUGCUGUCACUUAUAGAUGGAUCCGCGCUGCAUUAGCUAGUUGGUAAGGUAACGGCUUACCAAGGCAACGAUGCAUAGCCGACCUGAGAGGUGAAUCGGCCACACGGAAACGGGAAAACGGCCCGAAUCCCAAGGGGGGGCGGCGGUGGGAAAUCUUCCGCAUGGGGCGAAAGCCGGACGAGGCAACGCGGCGGAGUGAUGAAGGGUCUUGGAUUCUAAAAACCUGUUAUUAGGGAAGAACAUAUGUGUAAGUAACUGUGCACAUCUUGACGGUACCUAAUCAGAAAGCCACGGCUAACUACGUG